GAUGAACGCUAGCGGGAGGCUUAACACAUGCAAGUCGAGCGGCAGCCCCGAGCAAUCGGGGUGAGAGCGGCGCACGGGUGAGUAACGCGUAUGCAACCUACCCUUUACAGGGGGAUAGCCCGUCGAAAGGCGGAUUAAUACCCCAUGGCACUAUUUUGUCGCAUGGCAGAAUGGUUAAAGUACCAACGGUAAAGGAUGGGCAUGCGUGACAUUAGUUGUUGGCGGGGUAACGGCCCACCAAGACUACGAUGUCUAGGGGUUCUGAGAGGAUGAUCCCCCACACUGGUACUGAGACACGGACCAGACUCCUACGGGUGGCUG
Molecule: ribosomal RNA, 321 nt
Filed under: uncultured Bacteroidota bacterium
Lineage: Bacteria; Pseudomonadati; Bacteroidota
Description: bacterial SSU rRNA
Rfam family: Bacterial small subunit ribosomal RNA
Source: RNAcentral